ACCCUUUGCCACACUCCUUCAGAGAUGCGCAGUGCUGCCCCUUUCUAUGGGCAGGGCCGAAGGUCCGCGUGUAAAAGUACCCAGUCCCUGGUAACCUGACACUUCCCUUUUAAAAGCCACCUUUUGUCUAUCUCUGGCCUGCCACGAUUCUUCCUGUGCUCCAUAGGAGGACCCAUUGGACCCCCGGGCUGGCUGCAGGGCCCACACCUGGGUUAGACCUCGCACAGGGACGCUGCUGCCACUGUAAUAAAGCGUGCCUACACGCUUCUGAAACUGGUGUAGGAACAACCUCAGUUCUGUGAAAGGCGGACGCAGCAGGACAGAAUCUCCGUGGACAUCUGUCUGGAGGAGCAAUUUUACUGCGACAUUUUAAAGAAACAAAUUUAAUUGAUUUCCAAGGGUGUCCAUCGCGCUUCCUUCACUGCCUUGAUCAUGUCGGGGUCACCACCUGCGGGGGUUUGUCCUGCAGACCCUGACUCAACGACGGAUGAAUAAUGUACACUGACACAGAUCUUAUGCUUGUCAGUCCUGCUGAGCAUCCAGGCCACUUACAGACUCCAAGAAGAGUCCUGUCAGCCACGGCUCUGACUUGUUGGCCCUCCCGGCAUUUAUUUAGCACACAUUUAAUGACAGAAGUCUCAGGCUGGAAACACUCUUUUUGUAGAACAUACAAAUGGACAUUUCUAAGCACAUUGAGGCCUAUAAUGAAAAAUCAAAUAUCCCACAAUGAAAACUAGAAGGAAGCUAUCUGUGAUAAUGCUUUGUGGUGUAUGGAUUCAUCUCACUGACUGAAACCUGAGUUUUGAUUCACCAGGUUAAAAACGCUCUUUUUGUAGAACCUACAAAAAGACAUUUCUGAGCCCAUUGAGGCCUACAGUGAAAAACCAAGAAUCCCAUAAUACAAUCUAGAAAACAAGCUAUCUAGGAAACUGUUUUGGAUGUGUGGAUUCAUUUAACAGAAUGGAAAUAGUGUUUUGAUUCACCAUGUUUGAAACACUCUUUUUGUGGAAUGCACGAAGAACAUUCUUUGUGGAAGAACAUUGAUGCCUAUAGUGAUUAACCAAAUAUCACGUGAUGCAAACUAGAAACAAGCUAUCUGUGAAAAUGCCUUGCAGCGUAUGGAUUCAUGUCACAGAGUUACACCUAUGUUUUGAUUCAACAGGUUGGAAACAAUCUUUUUGUAGAAUCUACAAAGGAAUAUUUCUGAGCCAAUUGAGUUCUAGAGUGAAAAACAGAAUAUCCUGUGAUAAAAACUAUAAAUAAGCUCUCUGUGAAAUUGCUUUGAGACUGUGGAUGCAUCUUUCAGAGUUAUGCCCUUGCUUAUAUUCAACAGGUUGGAAACACUUUUCUUGUAGAAUCUAUGAAGGGAUAUUUCUGAACCUAUUGAGGCCUAUGGUGAAAAAUUGAAUAUUCUGCGAUAUAAACCAGAAACAAGCUCUCUGUGAAAAUGCUUUUCCAUGUGUGCAUCCAUCUUACAGAGUUAAACGUUUGUUUAGAUUCAACAGGUUGGAAAUACUCUUUUUGUAGAAUCUAUGAAGGGAUAUUUCUGAACUUUUUGAGGCCUAUUGGCAAAAUCCGAAUAUUACGUGAUAAAAACUAGAAACAAGGUAUCAGUGAAAAUGCUUUGUGAUGUGUGGGUUUAUCUCACCAAAUAAAACCUGUGUCUUGAUUCACCAGGUUGGACACACUUUUUUUUCUAUAACCUACAUAGGGCGAUUUCUGAGCCUAUUGAGGUCUAUAGCAAAGCAACAACAACAAAUAUCCUGUCUUAUAAUCUAGAAAGAAGUUAUCUCUGAAAAUACUUUAUGAUGUGUGAAUUCAUCUCACAAAGUUAAACCUUUGUUUUGAUUCAACUGAUUGGAAACACUCUUUUUGUAAAAUCUAUGAAGGGAAAUUUCUGAGCCCAUUUAGGCCUAUAGUGAGAAACAGAAUAUCCCACUGUAAUAAGUAGAAACAAGCUAUCUGUGAAAAUCAUUUAUGGUGGCUGGAUUCAUCUCACCAAAUGAAACCUGUGCUUUGAUUCACCAGUUUGGAAACACUAUUUUUAUAGAAUCUAUGCAGGAAUAUUUCUGAUCCCAUUGAGGCAUAUGCUGAAAAUUCGAAUAUCCCAUGAUAAAAACUACAAACAAGCUAUCUAUGAAAAUGUUUUGUCAUGUGUGGAUUCAUCUCACAGAGUUAAACCUUUGUUUUGAUUCAUCUGUUUGAAAACACGCUUUUUUGUAGAAUCUAAGAAUCAACAUUUCUGAGUGCAUUGAAGCCUAUAGUGAAAAACAAAAUAUCUGAUGAUAAAAACUAGAAACAAGCUAUCUGUGAAAAUGCUUUGUGAUAUGUGGAUUCAUCUCAAAGAAUUAAACUUUAUUUUGAUUCAACAGGCUGGAAACACUGUUUUCGUAGAACCUACAAAAAGACAUUGGGGAGCCCACUGAGUCUUACAGUGAUAAACCAAGGAUCCUGUGAUAAAACUAGAAACAAGCUAUCUGUGAAAAUGCUUUGCAGUUGGUGAAUUUCUUUCAUAGUUAAACCUUUUUUUAUUCAAUACGUUGGAAACACCAUUUUUUAGUGUCUCUAAAGGGACUUUUUCAGCCCUUUGAAACCUAUAGUGAAAAACCAAAUAUCUUGCAAUAAAAACAAAUAAACAAAAAAGAACUACUUAUGAAAAUGCCUUGUGAUGUGUGGAUUCAUCUCACAGAGUUAAACCAUUGUUGUGAUUCAACAGGUUGGAAACAUGCUUUUUGUAGAAUCUACGAGUUGACAUUUCUGAGCCCUCUCUGGGUUAUGGUGAAAACGAAAUAUCCCAUGAUAAAAACUAGAAACAACCUAUCUGUGAAAAUGCUUUGCAAUGUGUGGAUUCAUUUCACAGAAUUAAACCAUUGUUUUGAUUUAACAGGUUGGAAACACUCUUUUUGUAGAAUGUAUGAAGAGAUAUUUCUGAGGCCUGUUGUGAAAAACUGAGGUUUCCACAAGAAAAACUGGAAACAAGUUAUCUGAGAAAAUGCUUUAUGAUGGGUGAAUUCAUCUCACAAAAUUAAACCUUCGUUUUGAUUCAAAAGGUUGGAAUAACUUU
Molecule: long non-coding RNA, 3064 nt
Filed under: Homo sapiens (human)
Lineage: Eukaryota; Metazoa; Chordata; Mammalia; Primates; Hominidae
Description: long intergenic non-protein coding RNA 662
Source: RNAcentral